Molecule: non-coding RNA, 195 nt
Organism: Podarcis lilfordi (Lilford's wall lizard)
Lineage: Eukaryota; Metazoa; Chordata; Lepidosauria; Squamata; Lacertidae
Source: the annotation of a GenBank genome assembly
AUGUGCAUCCCUCCUGAAGCUGCGCACUCGGUGGAAGAGGACGACCAUCCCAGAUAGAAGGAGUGUACUGUUCUUCGGUCAAGGGUAUACGAUAGCUGCGCUCCCCUGCUAGAACCUCCAAACAACCUCCGCCCCUGUCUCAAGGGUCAAAGGCCAAGUUAAAGAGGUGCAUCUUCAGCAUUCAGUACAUGCGAA